AAUUAUGAUAUUUGUUGUUACUUUUGGCCGUAGAUCACUUUUUCUGAUUUUCUUUCUAAUUACAGGUAUGAAAGUGGGGAUAGGCUAAGUCCUGAGCAUGAGAGAACAAUCCUGGAAAGGGUGCUUCCAUAUCAUCCACAAUGUGAAAAGAAAAUUGGAAGUGGAGUAGAUUAUAUCACGAUUGGCUAUCAUCCUGAUUUCGAUAGAUCACGAUGUUUAUUCAUAGUCCGAAAGGAUGGAGAGCUGGUUGACUUUUCGUACUGGAAAUGUAUAAAGGGUUUGAUCAGAAAAAAUUAUCCACUGUAUGCAGACACUUUUAUCAUAAGACAUUUUAAGAAGCCUAGGCGUAGUGAUUGAAGGUAAACUUCUCAAUUUGUUCAGAGUUAGAAAUCUACCGUAAGGAUACUUCCUGCCUAUUGUUUAGUUUGUCUUUCACCUGCCUGAAAGAUUUUUUGUGUUUGUUAGACGGUGUGAGUAGAAAUUCUGGUGUUACAACUAGAGCAUAUUACUAGGACCUUUCUUUUGGUAUGCAAUACUGGUGUAUAUUUAUUUCUUUCUUUUCAAGCCAUGUGUUCCGUGAUUCUGCAAUACAUGCACAGAUAAACUUCCCUUUUUGGUUCA
Long non-coding RNA from Coffea eugenioides, 621 nucleotides. RefSeq lists it as uncharacterized. The record is from RefSeq and is a predicted model, not a curated record. The transcript is spliced from 2 exons. NCBI's taxonomy places the organism in Eukaryota, Viridiplantae, Streptophyta, Magnoliopsida, Gentianales, Rubiaceae.